AUUGAACGCUGGCGGCGGGCCUAACACAUGCAAGUCGAACGAGUGGCGGACGGGUGAGUAAUGUCUGGGAAACUGACUGAUGGAGGGGGAUAACUAAGGGAAACGAUAGCUAAUACCGCAUACCAUCGGAUGUGCCCAGAUGGGAAGAGCUAGUAGGUGGGGUAACGGCUCACCUAGGCCACGAUCCCUAGCUGGUCUGAGAGGAUGACCGGUCCGACUGGAACUGAGACACGGUCCAUACUCCUACGUGAGGCAGCAGUGGGGAAUGUUGCACAAUGGGCGCAAGCCUGAUGCAGCCAUGCCGCGUGUAUGAAGAAGGCCUUCGGGUUGUAAAGUACUUUCAGUGGGGAGGCGUUACCCGCAGAAGAAGCACCGGCUAACUCCGUGCCAGCAGCCGCGGUAAUAC
RNAcentral lists this ribosomal RNA (406 nucleotides) under uncultured bacterium. RNAcentral describes it as "partial 16S ribosomal RNA". It matches the Rfam family "Bacterial small subunit ribosomal RNA", at positions 30 to 526 of the family's 1533-position model. The record is from RNAcentral.